RNAcentral lists this ribosomal RNA (329 nucleotides) under uncultured eukaryote. RNAcentral describes it as "partial 18S ribosomal RNA". It matches the Rfam family "Eukaryotic small subunit ribosomal RNA", at positions 1470 to 1796 of the family's 1831-position model. The record is from RNAcentral.
CCCUUAGAUGUCCUGGGCCGCACGCGCGCUACACUGAGUGUCUGAGAUACGAGUCUGCCUGGUCCGGCAAGGUCUAGGUAAUCGCUAAAAGACACAUCAUGCUUGGGAUAGAUUAUUGCAAAUAUUAAUCUUGGACGAGGAAUUCCUAGUAAGCGCAAGUCAACAGCUUGCGUUGAUUACGUCCCUGCCCUUUGUACACACCGCCCGUCGCUACUACUGAUUGGAUGUUUAAGCGAGGUUCUCGAACUGCUAGCGACUUAGCUUCGGUGAGGUCGCAGUGUGGGAAGUGAACCUAGCUUUGGUGUCUAGAGGAAGUAAAAGUCGUAACA